Contarinia nasturtii (swede midge) is the source of this 1584-nucleotide long non-coding RNA. RefSeq lists it as uncharacterized. The record is from RefSeq and is a predicted model, not a curated record. Lineage: Eukaryota; Metazoa; Arthropoda; Insecta; Diptera; Cecidomyiidae. The transcript has 5 exons.
UGUCAUUGGAAGUUUACUUAACGCACUUAUAAAAGAUAUAAGUUAAUCAGUAAUUGCUUCAAGUCCUCUCAAUAUGAACCAUUUUGGAAGUUGUUUUAUUUUUUGGAAAAUUUUUGCAUUUUAUGCCACACUCAAUGUUGGAUGUGGUGGACGAGUUCAUUAAACUAUUCGAUUUUAGCUUUGAACUCCGCGAAAGGGUUGCACUAAUAGAAAAAUGGCUAAAAGGGGAAAAUCCCAAUAAUUCAGAUGUAAUAAAAAGCGUUGAAUCAUCUUUGAAAUAUUUACAGAAAAAAUGUGGUAAAGAAAUUACACGUUAUCCUUCUUGUGUGAAUGACGUGGCAUUCAUUUAUAAUGCUUAUUAUGAAUUGGAGUCACGCAAAAAACGUCGUCCGUAGCCGAUGAUACCUUUAAAAAAGUGAGCAGAAUUAUUUCACCUGAAACGGCGUUUCGUGGCUAUCUUGAAUGCCUAACAGCCAAUACCACUGCCGCUGAUAUAAGCAAUGGAAAUGUGGAUCUUAACAUUGAAGCUAAACUUUUCCUGAGUAUCUCAACGGUACGGCAUUUGGAUGAAUCCGUUCGGUAACAUUAAAUUCCCGUUAGAGUUAGGGAAAACCAAUUCAAAAUGAGCAAUUUCUUUUUAAAUUCUAGUUCAGUUUAUUUAAUCCAUAUUAUGAGUCUUAUAGAAAAGGCGUUCACUCGAGAUCGUAUUCAGUUUAACAAUAUGAAAGGAGUAUUUGAGAAAUUUAUGCAUUCUGUUAAUAUUGCGUCUCGACUCAACAACACAAUAAAUUAUCUGUCACUGUCGUUCAAUCAACUUACUGAUGAUAUAAAGGUGGCUUUGGAGAAGCCAAAUUCAAUUUUCAGCUUGAAUUCCAAAUUUCAAUGUGAUGAAGAUAUUGUUUUACCAAAUUAUACACCAAGUCUUAUUAAUAAUGAAAAUAUCACGAAACUGUUCACAAUCAUGUUGCAUGCUUAUGUUUUAUAUGGCAUGCGAAUGAAUCAAAUGAUGCUUGACGUAUUCUUGCGUAUUCUCAAAUCUACGAUUUACGGUAUACAAUGCAAACAAAGCGCAUAGAUCUACAAUCCACUUUUAGUUUUGAACAAAGCGAUGAUUUUGUCACCAAAGCAAAUCGAGAGUAUUUGCAGAGUUUAAUCAAUAUUUUAAUGUUGUCCGCUGGUCAAUUGAAAGAUGAAAGUUGUAGAAGUAUAGAUAGGAUGACAAUUGAAGAAAUGAAGCGGAUCAUGAAAAUAUAUCAUCAAAUUCAUCAAAUUGACAAUGUAUUCGAUUGGAAUGAUGAAAGUUUUGAUAUAAUUUCUCAGCAUUUUCACAUAAAAUUCACCAUCCAAUUUUUCAGCGACUCUCAUAAUGUCCAAACUAUCGAGAAACUCAAUGAUGCGUUCAAUUGCAUAUUUGUAAAUUUUGGAAAAUCGUUGGAGUCGUAUACUAUUGAAUUUGCAGAACAAUUCAAUUGAUACAUUUUUGCACUGAUCAAAAGAUAACAGCUUAAAAAUUCUUUCUUUUCACACAAACAAUAAGAAUUUGUCUACUUUUCUGUUAAUAAAAAAAAAACAAUUUUCCUUAGG